GAGAGAGGCUUUGAGCAGCGGAACCUGCUAACUUUCGCAUCCUUGGUUAGACCCCAGGGCUCACUCA
RNAcentral lists this transfer RNA (67 nucleotides) under Ceratias sp. CC62C. RNAcentral's name for it is "tRNA-Ser". The record is from RNAcentral. RNAcentral also lists the same sequence under 3 other names. Lineage: Eukaryota; Metazoa; Chordata; Actinopteri; Lophiiformes; Ceratiidae.